Molecule: unclassified non-coding RNA, 188 nt
Filed under: Glomeraceae sp.
Lineage: Eukaryota; Fungi; Glomeromycota; Glomeromycetes; Glomerales; Glomeraceae
Description: partial contains 5.8S ribosomal RNA and internal transcribed spacer 2
Source: RNAcentral
GUGAAUCAUCGAAUCUUUGAACGCAAAUUGCACUCUCUUCUGAUCGUAUGCCUGUUUGAGGUUCAGUAUUAAUAAAAAUCGGUUUGUUGCUUCUUUGUGACGCUUCGGUGUUUGGGUCAUCUUAAUAUCCUUUAGGUUUUAAGAGGCUUAAAUUGACUUUUUUUGCGCAUUUUAGAUGUACUUAAUUU